RNAcentral lists this transfer RNA (73 nucleotides) under Marmota monax (woodchuck). RNAcentral describes it as "tRNA.Gly". Lineage: Eukaryota; Metazoa; Chordata; Mammalia; Rodentia; Sciuridae. The record is from RNAcentral.
GAAGUUGUAGCUUAGUGGUAGAGCACUUGAGAACCAUGCAUGGGGCCCUGGGUUCAGUAAUCCCAGUGACUCA